This is an RNA transcript of Hypanus sabinus (Atlantic stingray), 9699 nucleotides long. It is a transcript of the gene named aspartate beta-hydroxylase domain containing 2, with no coding region annotated. The record is from RefSeq and is a predicted model, not a curated record. The transcript has 6 exons. NCBI's taxonomy places the organism in Eukaryota, Metazoa, Chordata, Chondrichthyes, Myliobatiformes, Dasyatidae.
CUGGCUGGCUGGCGAGAGGAAGCUGCAGAUUAAUGAAUCGGGUCGUUGGCAUUGUUCAGAUUGCUGAACUCACAUUUGUAUUUAGUAAUAUGGCUUUUUCAAAAUGGCGUUUCUUCUUCCCAUAAGUCGUUGCUUUUGAAACGUCAUCUUGUAUUUGAACACGGGAUUUUUUUUUAAAGGACCUGAGGCUUUAGCAAUGCUGAUUUAUAUCCAGAUGCUCCAAUACAACAAUCUAAUUCGAGGCUAGCUGGUUCCUCUCCUAUGCAGCAAGAGGAUUGUGGUUAUGUGUUUGUUCUGUGAGACGAGCAGACAGACUAAAUGUGUCCAGGCUACCAAUACAGUGCUUGGGAGCCAAAAUGCCAUCUUUGCCUGUCGAUUAGACCACAGCUACUUUUCUUCCACUACCUAACACUGCAUGGUGUGGGUGCCUGUGCACAAGUCGAAGGCUGACAACAUUGCCUUGCUACACCGAUCUAAUACGAAUCUUAUGAACAUGUUCGUUGAGUGGUUGACAGACUGGGACCUGACACUGGACCGCAUUAAAGAUUUGGUGCUGACAAGCUUGUAUGCAGUGCGGGAGUGUGACGUAACGGCUGUGACCACCUUUGCCUGUGUUUUGGGGCUUUUUGUGUGGUAUUGCUACCAUGUAGGCAGCGAGCAGCCCCGCAGUCACACACCAGUGAAUGCCAUCAUGCAGAAUGCUGACAUAAAUGGGUUGCAGAAUGGUUACACAUGCUGUCAAUCCGCCGAUUGCAUAAGGUGCACCCAUAACGAGGGACGCAAUCAGAAACUGUAUCACAAUCUACAGGAGUAUGCCAAGCACUACUCGUGGUCAGGAAUGGGACGGAUCCACAAGGGAAUUCGGGAGCAGAGCCGAUACUUGAACACUAGACCUUCCAUCCAGAAACCAGAAGUUUUCUUCCUGCCUGACCUACCCACGACUCCAUAUUUUUCACGAGACGCCCAGAAGCAUGACGUAGAGUUACUGGAGCGGAACUACCAAACCAUCCUGGCUGAAUUUGAAUUGAUUUUCAAGGCAUUCUCAAACUGCAGCCUUCCACAGGGCUGGAAGGUUAAUACCACCCCAAGAGGCGAUUGGUUCACCUUCUAUCUGGUUAACCAGGGCAUCUGCCUUCCCAGUAAUUGCAGAAGGUGCCCUCGGACGUAUCGAUUACUAGGCAGUCUUCGCACUUUCAUCAGUAAUAAUGUCUUUGGGAAUGCAUGUUUCUCUGUUUUGAGUCCAGAAACACUCAUCACCGAACACUACGGACCCACAAACGUCCGGAUCCGCUGCCAUUUAGGGGGUGUCAUGGAAGACAAGAGACUGCAGACGCUGAAAUUUGGAACGAACGAAAACGUUGUUGGAGGAGUUUAGCAGGUCAGGCAGAAUCCAUGGAGGGACAUUUUGGGUCAAGAUCCUUCAUCUGGACCAAAAGGUAGAGGGGAGAUCAUAUUCUUCCACUCCAGGUCUUGCAUCUGGAUCAAAAGGUAGAACCAGAUCAUAUGUUUUCACUCCAGGUGAAGGGUCCCACUUUGAAGUAUCAGUCAUCUAUUUCCCUCUGCUUGACUUGCCUGUUUUCCUGACCCCCUUGUUAUAAAUUCUGGGCUGAUGCAUUGGGACUCAUUCAGGAUCAGUAUUUAUCUCGUCUGCUCAUUACCAAUUUCUGGUUGUGAGAACUUACCAUGUACAAGCCAGCUACUAUAUAGUGUAGCAACUUCCUCACGUUAGUAAAGGUUAAUUGAAUUCAGGAGGCUAGUGGUCAUGAAAGGAAUUUGUAAUAAUGCAGCUCUGGUCUUCCUGUGAAUAAAGUGUUGGAGUGAUUUACCAGGGUCACCAUCUAGUCCGGGUAUUCUGAAGUGCCUUAUGCUACCUAUUACAAAGAUAUAGAACUACUUGCAUUCAUUUUAAGAGAAUUAGAAUAUGAAAACAAGGAUAUAAUACUGAGGCUUUAUAAGGCAUUGGUUCAGCCACACAGAGCAUUGUUAACAGUUUUGGGCCCCUUAUCUGAAAAAUAGAUGUGCUGGCAUUGGAGAGGGUUCAGAGAAGGUGCACAAGAAUGAUCCUGGGAAUGAAAGGGUUAAUCUGUAGAGAGCUUGAGGCCCUGGGCCUUUACUCACUGGAGUUCAGAAAAAUGAAGGCGGGAUCUCAUUGAAACCUAUUAAGUAUUGAAAGGCUCAGAUAGGGGGGACAUGAAGAGGAUGUUUCCUAUAGUGGAGGAGUCUGGGACCUGAGGUCAUAAUCUCAGAGGAACAUCCACUUAGAACAGAGAUGAGGAGGGAUUUCUUUAGCCAGAUGGUGGGGAUUCUAUAGAAUUCAUUGUCAGGGACAGCAGUGGAAGCCAAGUCAUUGGGUAUAUUUAAAGCAGAGAAGGUUGAUAGGUUCUUGAUUAGUAAGAGUGUCAAAGGUUACGGAGUGUUAGGAGAAUGGGGUUCAGAGGGAUAAUAAAUCAGUCAUGAUGGAAUGGAUCAGACUCAAUAGGUCGAAUGGCCUAAUUCAGCUCCCAUGUCUUAUGAUCUCAUGGGCUUUGUUUCUUGUUUGUUGAUGUAUGUUUAUACCUUUGCUUAAAGAUUAAUGUUCGUAAUGAAAUUGUCACAAUUUAUAAAAUAAUAGUCUUGAAAAUGAGUACCAAAUAGUUAUAUCAUUGGUAGACACGUUCAGAACAAAAUAUCAGGUGAAAGUCAUUCAAUGAUUUGCAUGACAGCAAAUUUGAAGCACUUUAUGCUAGAAACAAGAAGCUGGGGAGUUCAGUAGCUCACUGAGUUAAUGGUUUAUACAGUGAUCUACUAAAUAAUAGCCAUCAGGAGCUUAAUCGACACUCCAUCUUAAAGUUAACCUGUUCCACCAUCCAGUACUUGGUGAUGAACAACCUCGACCUGCUGCAGUUCAUGCCAUCGCCUCAGGGACGACUCAGGAUAGCAGCUGGAACAACACUGCACCCUAUAAUCUUGUUUUUAAGAAGUACAAAGAACAAAUGGAUGACAGAUGAAAUCAAAAAUCUAAUGGAAGAAAGCAAACCCUAUAGAAUAUGAGUCCUUAGAUUAAAAAAAGUUAAAAGCUUAUGUCAAAAAGCCAAAGAAGAAUGGUUAAACCAGGAAUAUGAGCAACUAGAAAGAAUCCCUAUUACUGAUUCAAAAAAGUUACAUCAACAAAUCAAGAAUAUCACUGGUAAAGAGCUCCUCUGUUCUUCAGGUGGAUGUUUGAAAGCAAAGGACAGUACCAUUAUCAUGGAAAAAGAUGAGAUUAUGAACAGAUGUACUGAGUAUAUUCAGGAAUUUUUUUAAAGAUGAUCAAGGCGAAAAACCAGAAAUUAAGAAAAACAUUAAAGGUCCAAGUAUUUUAAAAUCUGAAGUUCGUAAUGCAAUAAAUAAGAUGAAGAAAGGAAAGGUCCUGAUGAAUUAGUAAUAGAACAAAUUAUCACCCUUGAAGAUUAUGGAAUUGAAAAACUUACUGAUUUAAUCAAUGACAUUUAUGAGACUGGAAUAAUACCAGAAGAGAUGAAAAAAAUCUAUAUUUAUCACUCUUCCUAAGAAAGCUGGAGCAAUAGAAUAUGAAUUACAUAGGACCAUAAGUUUAGUGAGUCAUAUCACCAAGAUACUUCUAAGAAUUUUGAUGACAAGUGCUAAAAAUAAGAUACAAGCUGAAAUAGGUGAUGAACAAUGUGGUUUUGUGAAAGACAAAGGUACAAGAAAUAGGAUACAGUUGGCCCCACUUAUCCGUGGGGGACUGGUUCCAGGACACCUCCCCGCCCCGUGGAUACCAAAAAAUGCGGAUGCACGUCCCUUAUAUAAAAUGUCCCUUAUUUGCAUAUAACCUAUGCGCAUCCUCCUGUAUACUUUAAAUCAUCUCUAGAUUACUUGUAAUACCUAAUACAAUGUAAAUGCUAUGUAAAUAGUUGUUAUGCUGUAUUGUUUAGGGAAUAAUGACAAUAAAAAAAAAGCCUACACAUGUUCAGUACAGACACAACCAUUGUAGCUCUUCUGGGAUUCUCCCGUGAUCUUUAAGUUCUUGAGGCUGUAGCGCUUUCCAUAGCUAGCCAGCCAUCCCUUACUAGCCUUAAACUCCUUCCUCCUGCUCAUAACACAAGACGCAAGGUGAACAAUGCUCAAACGAGUGCUGGAGAGAGAACUUCCGGGUUUUCCCGAUUCGCAGUUGGUUGAAUGUAUAUAGUGAAAUAAUAUUACAAAAUAUAAGAGUCAUUGGGAAUCAAAAUUGGCUGUGAAAAUAUCAGUAAUUUCAGAUAUGCUGGUGACACUGUGUUAAUUGCAAGUAUGGAGGAAGAAUUACAAAACUUAAUUGAUAUAGUUGUUGAAGAAAGUGCAAAAAUGGGUCUGUCUAUCAAUUGCAAAAAGACAGAUCCAAAAAGGAGAAUCCUAUCUGCAGGCUGAGAAUAAAUGGGGAAGACAUAAAACAAGUACAGAACUUUUGCUACUUAGGAAGCUGGAUGACAUCAGAUGGCAGGUGCGACAUGGGCAUCAAAAAAGAAUAGGGAUGAUAAAAGAGAAUGAAGAGAAUACUGAGCAAUGCUAAACUAGGCACAACAACCCGCUCAGAGUACCGAAAUGUUACAUUUAUCCAGUUAUGUUAUAUGGCUCAGAAUAUCUAGUAACAUGAGGAAGCGAAUUGAAGUAGCGGAGAUGUGGUUCUUGAGGAGGAUGCAAAGAAUAUCAUGGACAAAAUGAAUAUCGAGCGAGGAUGUCAUGAACAGAGCAAGCACAAAAAGAGAAAUAAUGUAUGAGAUUAUGAAAAGGCAACGUAACUUCAUUGGACAUGUGAUUAGGAAAGAGGAGUUAGAAUGCACGGUAAUUAUGGGAAAGAUUGAAUGGAAGAAAGCAAGUGGAAGGCAAAGACAAAUGAUGAUGGAGACCUCAGCCACAGAACUGGAAAUGAAUACCAAUGAAUUGACCCACUUGACCUGAAACAGGAGUGUGUGGGCCAUGGUAGUCAAAGCUCAUCUGAUGAUGACUCAUGUUAGGGUGAAGAGGGCAACUUUGGCCAAUAUGGAUUCUUGAAAGGAAAUUAGUGAUGUCAGACGAGUAUAAGUUUGAAGUUAGUUGAAAGGACUGCUAAACUCUCUGAUGUGGGUGAAGUAGCAAAAGGCAGUUCCUAUGAGACCUGCUGUUCAGCACUCGAGUUGGAGGAUAUUGGCUAAAACGUGCUACUUGUUUAUAGUUAUUCACUUUCUGUGCCAGCAGUCCUAUCACUGUUUAAGUGAAACACAAAGGAAGACAUUGCAGCCAGACCUUGUGAAAAUGCUGCUCAUAUCACAAACCUGCAGCAAUCUGAAUCUGUCCCUUCCUACUCUGAGAACUGCCAACAGGAAAUGCAUUCUGUAGUAUUGGCUGUCCUGUUUAAUUACACCAAUGGGAAAUGAUCUGAGAGGUGAGUGGCAGUCCAAUAAUCUUAACCUGCCUAACCCCAGUUGAGCUUUCCCAGGAGAUCAUUACCAAUAUAUUAUUUAAUUUUAGAUACUGCCUGAUAACAGGCCCUUCCAGUCCAACAAGCCCAUGCUGCCCAAUUACACACAUGAUCAAUGACUUAUCCGUUCGUCUUUGGACUAUGGAAGGAAACCGGAGUACCUGGAGCCACGGAGAGAAAGUACGAACUCCUUACAGUGGUGGAUUGCUGGCACUAAUAGUUUUACAUUAACCACUGCACUACCUGGGUUGUGACACUCUGCCUCUCUCUUUAUCUUCCAUAUCCCACCUUAUUUUGCAUAUCUGCUACUUUGUAACCCGUUUUUAACCUUUUCUAUCUCUUUUAUCAAAUCUUCUUUGACUUAAUCUUCCUAAACCUUUCUUAUCCAUCCUCGUGCAUAGUCCUUUGUGCAGGUGCUGUGUCUGUCAGUAGGCUGUUACUAUAUGUUUAUUUUCUUUCUGGACAUUUUCUUUCCUCUCCGUCUUCAGUCUAUAUCAUUCUAUAUCUUUCUUUUCUCAUGAUGUUUGAACUAGAUGCAGUUGCUUCUUCAUCUAUGUGCACAUUCCUGUGUCCCCCUCCCUUAUUUUCUCAUAACCUGUGCCACCUCAGCUCUUUUAUCCUCUGGUGUCACCAUCUUGCCUUCCUCUCUUUGUAGAAGAAUUAUGUCCAUUUGUGUGCUCCUCUGUUUUUUCUUUUUUGCUCUCAUCUUCUUGUAUUCCUUCAGGGUUUUAUUUUCUUUAAAGGUGCAGCACAAUAACCAGCCCUUCCAGCUCGACAUGCCCCUGUUGCUCAAUUACAGCAAGUGACCAAUUAACCCACCCUCCCGUAUGGUGAAGGGGAGAAUGUAGAAACUCCUUUCAGACAGCAGUAGGAAUUGAACCUAGAUCAUUGGGCCUGUAAUAGUGUUAUGUUAAGCACUAUGCAUGAGGUUCUUUCUUUUGUUUUCCUCUUUAUAUUCACAGUGUAUGUAUCCUUCCAUCCCCAUUCAUUCACCUACAUUCCUUUUAUCCUCUGUCUUUUACCCUCUUUCUACUCACAUUCCAUGUAUCCUUCCAUCCCAUUCAUUCACUUACAUUCCUUUUAUCCUCUGUCACUGGGUUUGGGGUUCUCAUGUUUCUGUCAUUCAUUCUUUGGGGUUUCUUGUUUUGUGGAUGUGCAUGAACAGUAAGAAUUUCGGGUUGUAUAGUGGAUACAUUCUCUGAUAUUAAACUGAACCAUUGAUCUCUCUCAUUCUCCUUUGCUCUUUGCUUUCUUCUCUGUUCAACCUCUAAUUUAUUUACUUCUCUUGUUGUCAGUAAUAGUUAAAAUUAACCUGGCCAUUCUGCAUCAACUGCGCAGUGGCAAUAAUUUAUUGCCAUUAGUUCAGCAAAAAUGCUCGCAUUUUAUUCCACAUAUUUUCAAAUGACAGAAGGAAUCUGUUUGCCACAUUGAGCAAUGCCUGGUUACAUAAUCCUUCUUCUGCUGUUUGUUUUGCCUGUAACCGAUUCCCUUUCUCGUGCCAGUCUGUGAUUCUCUUGCCACCCACCUACACUAGAUGCAAUUUGCAGACACAGUUUUGGGAUGUGGGAGGAAACGAAGCACGGAUUCACAGAGAGAAUGUGUAACCUCAAUCUGAGUUGAAUUUAUUAUCUUAUACAUAAGUCAGGUGAGGCCAAGGUGCAAUGAAAAGCUUUACCCAGAUAGUACAAGUAUUUCUGGGGUUGUGUGAUGACAGCACUAACUAUGCCAUCCUGUCAGACAGCCUGUCGAGUCUGUACUUCCAUUCAAUUGUGGCCGCUUGAUUUUCCCUCUCAACCCCAUUUUCCUGUCUCCUUCCCUUAAUUUUUGACACCCUUAUUAAUCAAGAUACUAUCAACCUUCACUUAAAAAUAUACCCAAUGACUUGGCCUCCACAGCUGUCUCUGGCAAUGAAUUCCACAGAUUCAUCACCCUCUGGCUAAAGAAAUUCCUCCUCAUCUAAAUGGAUGUUCCUCCAUUCUGAGGUUGUGCCCACUGGUGCUAGAUCCCCCCCCCCCCCACUAUAGGAAACAUCCACUCUAUCUGGAUCUUUCAAUAUUCAAUAGGUUUCAGUGAGAUCCCUCCUCAUUUUUCCAAAAUCCUGUGAGUACAGGCCCAGAGCCUCCAAACACUUCUCAUAUGUUAACCCUUUUCCUCUGGGAUCAUUCUCGUGAUCCUCCGUUGGACCGUCUCCAGUGCCAACAGACCCUUUCUCAGAUAAGGAGACAAAACCACUCAUAAACCACUCAGCUUUGGAAAGCGGCCAGUGAAGGAGUGGAGAUUUGAGGCUUUGACGAGAAGAGGCGGUGGACGAGCUUGUUCCCAGUUAGUCUUUACAAUGCCUCCUGAGACGGUGAUGUGCCUUUCCUGUGAGAUGUGGCAGUCUUGGGGGAACUCCCCUCUCCCGCAGAGUCACAUCUGCCAGAAGUGCAUGCGGCUGGGCAAUCUGGAAGACUGUGUGAGGAAUCUGGAGCAGCAGCUGGAUGACCUUCAACUCAUAAGAAUGAGGCAGUCGGGGGGGGCGUCACGCGAUGACAUAGGGUCGAGACGUUGGGAAUCCAGCUCCCUCGUAAAAAGUAAUGAAAUAGGGUUUAAGUGAAGAAGAGUUAACAAAUACCUACUAGAAACUAUUUAUAAGCAACUCAGGAUUAUUUUUAGAUAUGGCUCCUAAACGAAACAGAAGAAAGCUACUACUUCAAAGACUGCGCAAGUCAGCGGGGAAAAAGGCCUAACCGUCUCGGCGAAGCCUCGUACUCAAGUUGGAUCUCCUCCCGGCGAAGUGCAUGGCACUUCUGAUGGUGCAGGGCAGAAAGUUGCGGCAAUGCCGGCGGUCUCUAAGAAGAAACGGCAAGAACAACGCAUGCGCGAAGAAACAAGUAUGCAUGAACAGAUAAUAACAAAACUACAAAUCCCAACUACGGCUGGAAGUGAAUCGGAAGUGGAAUCAGAUUCUUUGGGAAACACAGAUGAAGAAGAAGAGGAAAAGGAGGAGAUUAAAGGAGACAUAAGAGAUAUCCUGAUAUAUAUGAUGAAUUAAUUAAAAGAUAUAAGAAGGAUGCAGAUUACACUCGAUAAUGUGGUGGAAAAACAAAAGAAGAUGGAUAAUAAAGUUAAAGAGAUGGAAGGAAAAAUGGAAGAAAACACUGAAAGAAUAGAUAAGAUAGAAGACAAUAAUCUUGCCUGGACAACAGAAAGAAAACGGAUGUUGGAAAAAAUAGAUGCGCUUGAAAACUCUAGUAGAUGAAAUAAUAUUAAAAUUGUUGGUCUUAUAGAAGGUACAGAGGGAGAAAAUCCAAUAAAAUUCUUCUGAAAAUUUUGGAAAUGAAAGAAGGAAGUAAUUGAAAUUGAAAGAGCACACGGAGCUUUAAGACCAAAACCUCAACAAGAUCAAAAUCCAAAAUCAAUUUUGAUAAAAUGCUUAAGGUACCAAGAUAAAGAAAUGAUCUUGAAGGCAGCUACUCAAGGUGCUAAAAAGAGAAAUGGGCCAUUGAUGAUAGAAGGGGAAAAGAGUUUUUUUUUAGUCCAGACAUAAGUUAUGAUCUUCUGAAGAGGCGGAAGGAGUUUAAUCCAGUGAAAAAUUUUUUAUGGGAAAAGGGCUAUAAAUUUUUAUUGAGCUACCCAGCAAAAUUGAUAAUUUUCCUGGAUAAUGAAGAAAGAAGAUUUUUCGUUGACUACCGGAAAGCGGAGAAAUUUGUACAAGAACUACCUGAUAUCCACGAGGGGGAGUAAAGAAUUAUAGAAAUGAAGUGGACUAAUGACGAAGACUGAAAUAAGGUUGGACUUGAUGCACAUUUAUAAGGAAUAAGAAGAAAAAAAAAUAGUUGAGUAUUAAUUGGGAGUAGAGACAUUCAUUAUUUUCUUUUUUUUUCUUCACUAAUAUAUUUUCUUUCUUUUUUUUGCGGGGGAGCUGGAGGAGCUCCUGAUCGAUGGCUGCAAGUUUCACGUGUACAAUCAUGGCGAUUGCCAUGACCCGUAAAAUGGUGGGGGGUAAUGUUGUGUUUCUUUUUAUUCACAACAUUAGUGGGGGGGUAUUUUGUUUUUGUUUUUUUUCUUAUUUAUUAGUUACCUUUCUUCUAUUUUUCUUCUUUUUUGCCUGGAUGGCUGGGGAGAGACACAUAGCAACAUGGAGAAUUUUAAAGAGUUCCCAAGGUUUGAAGGUUCCCAGCAACUGUGAACUGGUGGUAGGGGGAGAGCCCCAGUGCUGGGCAGAAGGGCGAUGUUUGCUAUUUGAUGAUUCCUUCCUUCACACAGCAUUCCAUGGAGGUUCAGCUGAAGAUGGUCCACGG